This 460-nucleotide ribosomal RNA is filed under the name uncultured bacterium. RNAcentral describes it as "partial 16S ribosomal RNA". It matches the Rfam family "Bacterial small subunit ribosomal RNA", at positions 338 to 795 of the family's 1533-position model. The record is from RNAcentral.
CCUACGGGCGGCAUCAGUGAGGAAUAUUGGUCAAUGGACGAGAGUCUGAACCAGCCAAGUAGCGUGAAGGAUGACUGCCCUAUGGGUUGUAAACUUCUUUUAUAUGGGAAUAAAAUGUUCCACGUGUGGGAUUUUGUAUGUACCAUAUGAAUAAGGAUCGGCUAACUCCGUGCCAGCAGCCGCGGUAAUACGGAGGAUCCGAGCGUUAUCCGGAUUUAUUGGGUUUAAAGGGAGCGUAGGUGGAUUGUUAAGUCAGUUGUGAAAGUUUGCGGCUCAACCGUAAAAUUGCAGUUGAAACUGGCAGUCUUGAGUACAGUAGAGGUGGGCGGAAUUCGUGGUGUAGCGGUGAAAUGCUUAGAUAUCACGAAGAACUCCGAUUGCGAAGGCAGUUCACUGGACUGCAACUGACACUGAGGCUCGAAAGUGUGGGUAUCAAACAGGAUUAGAUACCCGGGUAGUC